AACUUUUGGCAAUGGAUCUCUUGGCUCUCGCAUCGAUGAAGAACGCAGCGAAAUGGGAUAAGUAAUGUGAAUUGUAGAAUUCAGUGAAUCAUCGAAUCUUUGAACGCACCUUGCGCUCCUUGGUAUUCCGAGGAGCAUGCCUGUUCGAGUGUCAUGAAGCUAUCAACUCACUUCUUUUGUUAGAAGUGCAGCUUGGAAUUGGAGCCUUGUUGGCGUCUCGUCACGUCGACUGCUCUGAAAUGCAUUAGCUCGAUUUACUCUGCGGCUGCUUCAGUGUAGUAAUCUCUUCACUGCGAUGCAAUCGCUCAGUUAAAGGAGCUCAUAAAGCACCCACUUCAUUUCAACUUUUGACCUCGAAUCAGGUAGGACUACCCGCUGAACUUAAGCAUAUCAAUAAGCGGAGGCU
RNAcentral lists this unclassified non-coding RNA (406 nucleotides) under uncultured Agaricomycetes. RNAcentral describes it as "sequence contains ITS2". The stretch from base 1 to 154 matches the Rfam family "5.8S ribosomal RNA". The record is from RNAcentral. Lineage: Eukaryota; Fungi; Basidiomycota; Agaricomycetes.